This is an RNA transcript of Gossypium arboreum, 1898 nucleotides long. RefSeq lists it as uncharacterized. NCBI's taxonomy places the organism in Eukaryota, Viridiplantae, Streptophyta, Magnoliopsida, Malvales, Malvaceae. The record is from RefSeq and is a predicted model, not a curated record. The transcript has 4 exons.
GAUCAUUCUCCUAAUCCUCUCUGUAUUCAAGCUGGCAAACACUUGUCACCUACUUCUCUCGUUCGCUUUUCUUAUCUUAUUCUCCCAAUUUUCUUUCGUUUAAACCCUAACCCUAAUUUCCGCCUUCAUGUAGUAACAUAGAAUUCCUCACGAAAAAUAAAGAAAAAUGAUUCCUUUAGUUCCUUCCAUAUUUCUUCACGUCAUUUUCAUCUUCUUCGCGCUUGUCAACGGCGAGCAGGAGACUAUUUACGAUAUCCUAAAGGCCCAUGGGCUACCCACGGGGCUGCUUCCGAAGGGGAUAACCCGAUUUGAGUUCGACGAAACCGGCCGCUUCGAGGUUCAGUUGGAUCAAGCUUGUAAUGCUAUGUUUGAAUGCCAGUUUCGUUAUGAUAGGAACGUUUCUGGGACUUUGAAGUACGGGCAGAUGGGGGCCUUGUCUGGGAUUUCUUCUCAAGAGCUGUUUCUUUGGUUCCAGGUCAAAGGGAUUUGGGUUGAUGUUCCUAGCUCGGGCCUCAUUUAUUUCGACGUCGGUGUCGUUUCUAAGCAGUUUUCGUUGUCUUGGUUCGAAACGCCGAGGGAUUGUAUGGCGAUUCAGGAUGAUUCUGAAUCUGGUGAUUCGAUUGGAGAUGGCAAGUUAUUAGCUGAAGCAGUCGCGAAGAGUCCACGUGCGAAACAUCGAUAUGAACUUGAUCAUGGAGGUUUUGGGAGGAACGAGAUCUAGAAAGUUAGAAAGACGAAAGACGAAAGAAGUUGUUCAAUAGCUCAAUCAGGUUAGCCUUGAAGUGUGUUCUGGGGCCUCGCCCUCCCCCGCCUCCACUUUGUAAAUUUUGGUCAGAAUGUCUGCUGUGGAUGGUCUUCACGCCUCCAUCCUGUGUGCUUUGCUUGCAUUUCUUUCCUUUGUUUUAUAUAGUGCAGAAUCGUCGACUUGCCAAGUCCAGCUGGCUUCUGUCUAUGCGAGGCGAGCUGUUGAGGAGAAAAUGGAAGAUUGAAGAGCUAUUUUAUUGAUGACCUUGGUUAGUUUACAUUAUGGAAGAUAAAAUGGAUAUAGGAGCAUUUGGUCGGCGGUUUCAGGGGUUUGUGACCUUGUGUAGAUCAUGGUCAUUGGAUGGGGGUGUAUUUCUCCCUAAGAUUUUGAACUGGCAGUCUUGUUCCGAAGAAAAAAAAGUGUGUCUAUAUCGGCUGCAUCAGAUGGGUUUUAAUUUGCUAACAGACUACCGUUAAAUAUGUCUAGUAAGUUGAAUUUUGUCCCUAAUGUGCGCAACUUCUAUCAUGGACACUGUCUUUUGCAUGUUAGAUGUAGAUUCCUCCUUUGCUGUCAUUUGGAACACUUCGGUUUCAUUUUUCUGAUGGGAUUGUAGUUAAAAAGUUUGUUUCUUAAAAUUAUAAUCUCUCAGGUAACCAUGCAAUUUCUUUUUCCGUUAUUUGGUCCUGCAAGGUAUUGGUGCUGAUAUGUUCAAAUGUUUAGCAGUUAGAUGCUGGUUAUGAAAGAAUGGAAACUUUUUAUAUAGGCAUACUAUGAACUACUAAAACCUUUAUAUCAAAGUUGUGAUUUUCAAACCUUACCAACUUAGUACAGUCUGCAAAACAAUUCUUUAUUUAGUUUAGAAAGACAUGAAAUUAUUGAAAUGUUGGCAAUGGAGAAGGUUGAAUUUGGGUAGAAGAAUGAUGGGACGACAGGCCAGCUUGGCCUUGGCGGGGGUUGAGUUUAUACUAUACUACUAUAUGGCAUGUGAUGUGAUCAUUGAUCACAGUUCACAUGCCAUGCUACCAUGUUUUAGGAGGCAUUUUGUUCGUAUAUUGAUUUCCCCAUCGUGUUUGUGUUUGUAUAUCUUCAACCUACAUCUGUACUUAAGUAUCGGAUUUAUGAAAGGAUAAUAUAGAAUUAAUUUUGAUGAUUA